UGAUCAACUGGAAAAAAGAAAUGCACCUAGUCUGAGCUACAAGGACGACACAAACCUGGCAGACGCCCCCUGCGCUCCCUCCUGCCCUGCUUUAUGCCCACCUGCAUGCCCAUCUGCAGAAGAAGCCCGCCAGUUGUUCUGUUUGUGUGCCAGGGUGAAUCAAACCCAUCCACGUCGUUCCCAGGUGUGCGUCUGGCUGCGCCCCCUCUCCAUCCGUCGUACAGAUGACAAUCCCCUGUGACCAUGUGCCACAUUAGGCAUCCUUGAGAUCCCUGAACAAAGAUGCUCUUUAGGCCUUGUGUUAAAGCCGUGGCCAGAGGGAGAUAAUAAAGACGAAGCUAUUUAAUGAGACUGGUAAUGGGCAGGAUCUCUGCAGUGGAUCGUUCCAGUCUGAAGACCCAGCUGUCCUGACGGACCGUCUGACCCUGCCCAGCGCUCCAGCUUUGAAACCGAGCGACGGAAGGAGGGGAUUACAGCUCGAAACAGGAUCCGGGCUGCUCCGAGUGCUGCUUGACCUUGGGUAAUGUCAAACUUUAUGAACUGUGCCGAAGUUAAAGUCUUUACCAACUCUGAUGCCUCUCGAAUUCAGUGUCUUUAAGAAAUGAGGAGAUGGAGACAAAUUAGCUGUAGUUUCUGAAGCUGAAACUUUUAAAAUGUCAUAAAUGUGCACUUAUUGAACGUGACAUUGAUUAGCCCGAGGAGCAAUGGAGAAAGAUGACGGACUGUUUUAUUAAUUAUGCAAUUUUAUGACAUUCAAAAUUACAUUGAUAUAAAGGUGGAAUUUAUUCGAUUGAAUGGAUAACAUUUCGUUUUAUUUAUGAUGGUGGAUAUAAAUCAUCUAAAUAAACAUCCAUAUUUUUUUAUUAAUUUUCAGGAGCAUGCAGAUGGUUGGUAGGGAGCAUUUAAUUUCUCAUAAUAACUGGAGGCACAGUUUUACUGAUAGAGUAUUAUUUUGCAAAGUCUGCUCAUUAUAAGUUAGGUGUAGUUUUUUUAUCUUUAAGCUAUGAAUGUUGCACAAUAUUAAACUAAAU
Molecule: non-coding RNA, 1031 nt
Organism: Misgurnus anguillicaudatus (oriental weatherfish)
Lineage: Eukaryota; Metazoa; Chordata; Actinopteri; Cypriniformes; Cobitidae
Source: RefSeq, a predicted model, not a curated record